This 497-nucleotide ribosomal RNA is filed under the name uncultured bacterium. RNAcentral describes it as "partial 16S ribosomal RNA". It matches the Rfam family "Bacterial small subunit ribosomal RNA", at positions 28 to 507 of the family's 1533-position model. The record is from RNAcentral.
GAUGAACGCUGGCGGCGUGCCUAAUACAUGCAAGUCGAGCGAACAGACGAGGAGCUUGCUCCUCUGACGUUAGCGGCGGACGGGUGAGUAACACGUGGAUAACCUACCUAUAAGACUGGGAUAACUUCGGGAAACCGGAGCUAAUACCGGAUAACAUGUUGAACCGCAUGGUUCAACAGUGAAAGACGGUCUUGCUGUCCCUUAUAGAUGGAUCCGCGCCGCAUUAGCUAGUUGGUAAGGUAACGGCUUACCAAGGCAACGAUGCGUAGCCGACCUGAGAGGGUGAUCGGCCACACUGGAACUGAGACACGGUCCAGACUCCUACGGGAGGCGGCAGUAGGGAAUCUUCCGCAAUGGGCGAAAGCCUGACGGAGCAACGCCGCGUGAGUGGAGAAGGUCUUCGGAUCGUAAAACUCUGUUAUUAGGGAAGAACAAAUGUGUAAGUAACUAUGCACGUCUUGACGGUACCUAAUCAGAAAGCCACGGCUAACUACGUG